Molecule: ribosomal RNA, 406 nt
Filed under: uncultured Pyramidobacter sp.
Lineage: Bacteria; Thermotogati; Synergistota; Synergistia; Synergistales; Dethiosulfovibrionaceae
Description: bacterial SSU rRNA
Rfam family: Bacterial small subunit ribosomal RNA
Source: RNAcentral
UGGGGAAUAUUGGGCAAUGGGCGCAAGCCUGACCCAGCGACGCCGCGUGAGGGAAGACAGCCUUCGGGUUGUAAACCUCUGUUGCAGGGGAAGAAGGAAGUGACGGUACCCUGCGAGGAAGCUCCGGCUAACUACGUGCCAGCAGCCGCGGUAAUACGUAGGGAGCGAGCGUUGUCCGGAAUUACUGGGCGUAAAGGGCGCGUAGGCGGCGCUUCAAGUCGUCUGUCAAAAGCCGAGGCUCAACCUCGGUGCGCAGACGAAACUGGAGAGCUUGAGAAGCAGAGAGGCAAACAGAAUUCCUGGUGUAGCGGUGAAAUGCGUAGAUAUCAGGAAGAAUACCAGUGGCGAAGGCGGUUUGCUGGCUGCAUACUGACGCUGAAGCGCGAAAGCCAGGGGAGCAAACAGG